RNAcentral lists this ribosomal RNA (1440 nucleotides) under uncultured organism. RNAcentral describes it as "SSU rRNA". It matches the Rfam family "Bacterial small subunit ribosomal RNA". The record is from RNAcentral.
GCUCAUGAUGAACGCUAGCUACAGGCUUAACACAUGCAAGUCGAGGGGCAGCAUGGUCUUAGCUUGCUAAGGCCGAUGGCGACCGGCGCACGGGUGAGUAACGCGUAUCCAACCUGCCUUACACUCUUGGACAGCCUUCUGAAAGGGAGAUUAAUACAAGAUGUUAUCAUGAGUAAGCAUUUUCGCAUGAUUAAAGGUUUACCGGUGUAAGAUGGGGAUGCGUUCCAUUAGAUAGUAGGCGGGGUAACGGCCCACCUAGUCUUCGAUGGAUAGGGGUUCUGAGAGGAAGGUCCCCCACAUUGGAACUGAGACACGGUCCAAACUCCUACGGGAGGCAGCAGUGAGGAAUAUUGGUCAAUGGACGAGAGUCUGAACCAGCCAAGUAGCGUGAAGGAUGAAGGUUCUAUGGAUUGUAAACUUCUUUUAUACGGGAAUAAACGAAUCCACGCGUGGAUUUUUGCAUGUACCGUAUGAAUAAGGAUCGGCUAACUCCGUGCCAGCAGCCGCGGUAAUACGGAGGAUCCGAGCGUUAUCCGGAUUUAUUGGGUUUAAAGGGAGCGUAGAUGGGUUGUUAAGUCAGUUGUGAAAGUUUGCGGCUCAACCGUAAAAUUGCAAUUGAUACUGGCAGUCUUGAGUACAGUUGAGGUAGGCGGAAUUCGUGGUGUAGCGGUGAAAUGCUUAGAUAUCACGAGGAACUCCGAUUGCGAAGGCAGCUUACUAACCUGUAACUGACAUUGAUGCUCGAAAGUGUGGGUAUCAAACAGGAUUAGAUACCCUGGUAGUCCACACGGUAAACGAUGAAUACUCGCUGUAGGCGAUAUACAGUCUGCGGCCAAGCGAAAGCAUUAAGUAUUCCACCUGGGGAGUACGCCGGCAACGGUGAAACUCAAAGGAAUUGACGGGGGCCCGCACAAGCGGAGGAACAUGUGGUUUAAUUCGAUGAUACGCGAGGAACCUUACCCGGGCUUAAAUUGCAACCGAAUAUGGCGGAAACGCUAUAGCUAGCAAUAGCGGUUGUGAAGGUGCUGCAUGGUUGUCGUCAGCUCGUGCCGUGAGGUGUCGGCUUAAGUGCCAUAACGAGCGCAACCCUUGCCGAUAGUUACUAACAGGUUAUGCUGAGGACUCUGUCGGGACUGCCAUCGUAAGAUGUGAGGAAGGUGGGGAUGACGUCAAAUCAGCACGGCCCUUACGUCCGGGGCUACACACGUGUUACAAUGGGGGGUACAGAGGGCUGCUACCACGCAAGUGGAUGCCAAUCCCAAAAACCUCUCUCAGUUCGGAUUGAAGUCUGCAACCCGACUUCAUGAAGCUGGAUUCGCUAGUAAUCGCGCAUCAGCCACGGCGCGGUGAAUACGUUCCCGGGCCUUGUACACACCGCCCGUCAAGCCAUGGGAGCCGGGGGUACCUGAAGUGCGUAACCGCAAGGAGCGCCCUAGGGUA